CACCGCAAGCCCGAGCGUCUUAGUUCGCUGCGGGAAGCUGGGGUCCUUGCUGCGUCUGAGCCCGUACACAAUGAGAGGGAAGAGCCCGGCUGAGCCUGUGGAGACAACCGAUUCAUUCUUUGGAGAAACAGAGCUGUCAGUCAGUGCUGAAUUAGUGCCUACCUCAUCAUGGAACAUUUCAAGUGAACUCAACAAAGAUUCUUACCUGACCCUUGAUGAACCAAUGAAUAACAUCACCACGUCCCUGGGCCAGACAGCAGAACUGCACUGCAAAGUCUCUGGGAAUCCACCUCCCACCAUCCGCUGGUUCAAAAAUGAUGCUCCUGUGGUCCAGGAGCCCCGGAGGCUCUCCUUUAGGUCCACCAUCUAUGGCUCUCGGCUGCGGAUUAGAAACCUCGACACCACAGACACAGGCUACUUCCAGUGCGUGGCAACAAACGGCAAGGAGGUGGUUUCUUCCACUGGAGUCUUGUUUGUCAAGUUUGGCCCCCCUCCCACUGCAAGUCCAGGAUACUCAGAUGAGUAUGAAGAAGAUGGAUUCUGUCAGCCAUACAGAGGGAUUGCAUGUGCAAGAUUUAUUGGCAACCGCACCGUCUAUAUGGAGUCUUUGCACAUGCAAGGGGAAAUAGAAAAUCAGAUCACAGCUGCUUUCACUAUGAUUGGCACUUCCAGUCACUUAUCUGAUAAGUGUUCUCAGUUCGCCAUUCCUUCCCUGUGCCACUAUGCCUUCCCGUACUGCGAUGAAACUUCAUCCGUCCCAAAGCCCCGUGACUUGUGUCGCGAUGAAUGUGAAAUCCUGGAAAAUGUCCUGUGUCAAACAGAGUACAUUUUUGCAAGAUCAAAUCCCAUGAUUCUGAUGAGGCUGAAACUGCCAAACUGUGAAGAUCUCCCCCAGCCAGA
Molecule: small RNA, 900 nt
Filed under: Pongo abelii (Sumatran orangutan)
Lineage: Eukaryota; Metazoa; Chordata; Mammalia; Primates; Hominidae
Description: processed transcript
Source: RNAcentral